This 468-nucleotide ribosomal RNA is filed under the name uncultured bacterium. RNAcentral describes it as "partial 16S ribosomal RNA". It matches the Rfam family "Bacterial small subunit ribosomal RNA", at positions 28 to 507 of the family's 1533-position model. The record is from RNAcentral.
GACGAACGCUGGCGGCGUGCUUAACACAUGCAAGUCGAACGGAAAGGCCCUGCUUUUGUGGGGUGCUCGAGUGGCGAACGGGUGAGUAACACGUGAGUAACCUGCCCUUGACUUUGGGAUAACUUCAGGAAACUGGGGCUAAUACCGGAUAGGAGCUCCUGCUGCAUGGUGGGGGUUGGAAAGUUUCGGCGGUUGGGGAUGGACUCGCGGCUUAUCAGCUUGUUGGUGGGGUAGUGGCUUACCAAGGCUUUGACGGGUAGCCGGCCUGAGAGGGUGACCGGCCACAUUGGGACUGAGAUACGGCCCAGACUCCUACGGGACGCAGCAGUGGGGAAUAUGGCACAAUGGGCGGAAGCCUGAUGCAGCAACGCCGCGUGCGGGAUGACGGCCUUCGGGUGGUAAACCGCUUUCGCCGGUGACGAAGCGUGAGUGACGGUAAUGGGUAAAGAAGCACCGGCUAACUACGUG